RNAcentral lists this ribosomal RNA (553 nucleotides) under uncultured bacterium. Its description in RNAcentral is "partial 16S ribosomal RNA". It matches the Rfam family "Bacterial small subunit ribosomal RNA", at positions 355 to 900 of the family's 1533-position model. The record is from RNAcentral.
UAGGGAAUCUUCGGCAAUGGACGAAAGUCUGACCGAGCAACGCCGCGUGAGUGAAGAAGGUUUUCGGAUCGUAAAACUCUGUUGGUAGAGAAGAACGUUGGUGAGAGUGGAAAGCUCAUCAAGUGACGGUAACUACCCAGAAAGGGACGGCUAACUACGUGCCAGCAGCCGCGGUAAUACGUAGGUCCCGAGCGUUGUCCGGAUUUAUUGGGCGUAAAGCGAGCGCAGGUGGUUUAUUAAGUCUGGUGUAAAAGGCAGUGGCUCAACCAUUGUAUGCAUUGGAAACUGGUAGACUUGAGUGCAGGAGAGGAGAGUGGAAUUCCAUGUGUAGCGGUGAAAUGCGUAGAUAUAUGGAGGAACACCGGUGGCGAAAGCGGCUCUCUGGCCUGUAACUGACACUGAGGCUCGAAAGCGUGGGGAGCAAACAGGAUUAGAUAGCCCUGGUAGUCCACGCGUAAACGAUGAGUGCUAGAUGUAGGGAGCUAUAAGUUCUCUGUAUCGCAGCUAACGCAAUAAGCACUCCGCCUGGGGAGUACGACCGCAAGGUUGAAAC